RNAcentral lists this ribosomal RNA (602 nucleotides) under Sporobolomyces roseus. RNAcentral's name for it is "eukaryotic LSU rRNA". It matches the Rfam family "Eukaryotic large subunit ribosomal RNA", at positions 47 to 663 of the family's 3401-position model. Lineage: Eukaryota; Fungi; Basidiomycota; Microbotryomycetes; Sporidiobolales; Sporidiobolaceae. The record is from RNAcentral.
UAAGCGGAGGAAAAGAAACUAACAAGGAUUCCCCUAGUAGCGGCGAGCGAAGCGGGAAAAGCUCAAAUUUGUAAUCUGGCGUCUACGACGUCCGAGUUGUAAUCUCGAGAAGUGUUUUCCGUGAUAGACCGCAUACAAGUCUCUUGGAACAGAGCGUCAUAGUGGUGAGAACCCAGUACACGAUGCGGAUGCCUAUUACUUUGUGAUACACUUUCGAAGAGUCGAGUUGUUUGGGAAUGCAGCUCAAAUUGGGUGGUAAAUUCCAUCUAAAGCUAAAUAUUGGCGAGAGACCGAUAGCGAACAAGUACCGUGAGGGAAAGAUGAAAAGCACUUUGGAAAGAGAGUUAACAGUACGUGAAAUUGUUGGAAGGGAAACACAUGCAGCCAGACUUGCUAUUCGGGGCAACUCGAUUGGCAGGCCCGCAUCAGUUUUUCGGGGCGGAAAAGCAUAGAGAGAAGGUAGCAAUUUCGGUUGUGUUAUAGCUCUUUAUUGGAUUCGCCCUGGGGGACUGAGGAACGCAGCGUGCUUUUAGCAUAAGCUUCGGCUUAUCCACGCUUAGGAUGCGGGUAUAAUGGCUGUAUAUGACCCGUCUUGAAACACG